AGAAGCGGCGUACGGGUGCGGAGCACGUGUGCACUAGCCUUUAUCUGGGGGAUAGCCUUUCGAAAGGAAGAUUAAUACCCCAUAAUAUGUUGAAUGGCAUCAUUCGACAUUGAAAACUCCGGUGGAUAGAGAUGGGCACGCGCAAGAUUAGAUAGUUGGUGAGGUAACGGCUCACCAAGUCUACGAUCUUUAGGGGGCCUGAGAGGGUGAUCCCCCACACUGGUACUGAGACACGGACCAGACUCCUACGGGAGGCAGCAGUGAGGAAUAUUGGACAAUGGGUGAGAGCCUGAUCCAGCCAUCCCGCGUGAAGGACGACUGCCCUAUGGGUUGUAAACUUCUUUGUAUAGGGAUAAACCUACCCUCGUGAGGGUAGCUGAAGGUACUAUACGAAUAAGCACCGGUUAACUCCGUGCCAGCAGCCGCGGUAAAUACGGGAGGGUUGCAAGCGUUAUCCCGGAUUAUUGGGGGUCUUAAAGGGUUCCGGAGGGCGGGAAUCCUGGUAAAGNGUUCAGGUGGGUUGAAAAUUCUUCCAAGGUUUUAAAUUGGUGGAAAUUGGCCAUUGGGAUUCUUGGGAGGGUCUCUUGGAAUGUUGGUUGG
This 600-nucleotide ribosomal RNA is filed under the name uncultured bacterium. Its description in RNAcentral is "bacterial SSU rRNA". It matches the Rfam family "Bacterial small subunit ribosomal RNA", at positions 91 to 676 of the family's 1533-position model. The record is from RNAcentral.